This 484-nucleotide ribosomal RNA is filed under the name uncultured bacterium. RNAcentral describes it as "partial 16S ribosomal RNA". It matches the Rfam family "Bacterial small subunit ribosomal RNA", at positions 30 to 507 of the family's 1533-position model. The record is from RNAcentral.
AUUGAACGCUGGCGGCAUGCUUUACACAUGCAAGUCGAACGGCAGCACGGGCUUCGGCCUGGUGGCGAGUGGCGAACGGGUGAGUAAUAUAUCGGAACGUACCCAGAAGUUGGGGAUAACGUAGCGAAAGUUACGCUAAUACCGCAUACGAUCUAUGGAUGAAAGCAGGGGACCGCAAGUCCUUGUGCUCCUGGAGCGGCCGAUAUCUGAUUAGCUAGUUGGUGAGGUAAAGGCUCACCAAGGCGACGAUCAGUAGCUGGUCUGAGAGGACGACCAGCCACACUGGAACUGAGACACGGUCCAGACUCCUACGGGAGGCAGCAGUGGGGAAUUUUGGACAAUGGGCGCAAGCCUGAUCCAGCAAUGCCGCGUGAGUGAAGAAGGCCUUCGGGUUGUAAAGCUCUUUUGUCAGGGAAGAAACGGUAGAGGCUAAUAUCCUUUGCUAAUGACGGUACCUGAAGAAUAAGCACCGGCUAACUACGUG